AUUGAACGCUGGCGGCAUGCUUUACACAUGCAAGUCGAGCGGCAGCGCGGGGGCAACCCUGGCGGCGAGCGGCGAACGGGUGAGGAAACCAUCGGAACGUGCCCGAGAGUGGGGGGAUAACGCCGCGAAAGCGGCGCUAAUACCGCAUAUUCUCUGAGGAGGAAAGUGGGGGACCGCAAGGCCUCACGCUCCCGGAGCGGCCGAUGUCGGAUUAGCUAGUUGGUGGGGUAAAGGCUUACCAAGGCGACGAUCCGUAGCUGGUCUGAGAGGAUGAUCAGCCACACUGGGACUGAGACACGGCCCAGACUCCUACGGGAGGCAGCAGUGGGGAAUUUUGGACAAUGGGCGCAAGCCUGAUCCAGCCAUGCCGCGUGCGGGAAGAA
Molecule: ribosomal RNA, 383 nt
Filed under: uncultured bacterium
Lineage: Bacteria
Description: bacterial SSU rRNA
Rfam family: Bacterial small subunit ribosomal RNA
Source: RNAcentral